This 32-nucleotide transfer RNA is filed under the name Cosmophasis bitaeniata. RNAcentral's name for it is "partial tRNA-Leu". The record is from RNAcentral. Lineage: Eukaryota; Metazoa; Arthropoda; Arachnida; Araneae; Salticidae.
UAUUUAAUGGAGACAAUUGCAUUAGAUAUAGA